AUGCCAAGCCGGUUAGGAAGUGCUGCAGGUGCUGCACUCCAUGUCCAAGUGAACCACCUCAUCUACCCUGUGUCUACCAAUGUGAUGCAUCAAGUCUUCAACCCCUACGGAGCAGUGGCGGUGCAGAUGCUUGUGGUCGAUGCAUGGCGUGUGGAGGCAAUUGUUUGGUUUCGGUCGACCUGCGACGCAGAGUGGGCUCAGGCUGAACUCCACGGCCGCAAUAUCUACGACGGGGGCUGCGUGUUGGAUGUGCAACAUGUGCCGACCUUGCUCGAAGACAGAGCCGACAUUGCACCCACCAAGUGUUCGAUGCAAGUACCAGGAUGUGCUACCACAAAGUCUGAUACCCAGAGCACUCCUACUACUCUGGAACACGUGUUCCCGGCCACCAUGAGCCCAUCUGCGGCCUCAACCAAAUCAGCAGUCACAACAACGUCGGCUUCGCUCACCGAGGCCAUGGAGGCUGAGGCUAGCAUGGACAAGGUGCUGGAGAAUGCAGGCAAGGCCAUUCAAGACCUGUGCACUAGGAUCGAUCGGAUUUUGGAGGCAUUUCGUGACACCAAGGUGGAUUUAUCCGAGAACAAGGAUUCCACUAGAGAUGUGGCAGUGUUGAGCGCCAACACUAGUCCAACUACCAUUGCAUUGGAGGUCAGUGCUGAGGCUGGCCCAACUAACCAUGUUGACUCAGCCAAGCUUGGCAUGGGAACAACCAUCGAGUGUUCAAUGAAGGGGAAGAAUCAGUUGGUUGAUGAUGAUGGCAAAGACAUGGCCAACGAUGAGAGAACUGAGCUCAUUGAAGUGGAUACCAAGUUUACUUCUGUGAAUUUAUGCUUCAGAGAUCCAUGGUUAGCCCUCAAUGCAAUUCCUUCCAGGAUCUUGAUUGGGUGUCUAAACCAUGACCUUGGUGUUAACAGUCUCUCGUUGGUUCCAUCUACGUUGGAAGUGCCAUACCAUUGCUUUGUAUUGGGCUCACCUCUCCAACCAUGGCCACCCCCUCUACAAGCCAAGAGCAAAGGUUCUAUUGUUGAGCGGCAGCUAGAACUGUGGCAUGAUCCUCAAAUAAAACAAGAUAACAAAGGUGUUGUGGUGAAUCUCCUACAACCCAGACUUUCACCUGACAAAUGGAAUGAGUCUUGGUUCAGUUGUGAUAAUGCUUGGGAGUUAGCACAAAGUCAUUGCAAGUUCUUGCUGACAGAACACAUGGCCUUGAUUGCACAAUAUGAAAAGAAUCGCUUUGAGCAAGAUCUAAGUCUGUGUAUGAAAUCACCAUGGCCACCACCUCCUCAUAAGAUCAGAACUGAUUUAUUGUGGUUGAAUUCGCAUGAAGUAUCAUCUCUCCAAUUCAAUGCUGAAUUCUGGAGGUUGCUGGCAAGAAUCAAUUUGUUUGAUUGCCAUUCUGGGCAAGAGGAUAUGCAGCUGUUCCAGGCAGGUGCAAAGCAGUACUCUCCUUUGGUGGUUAGAAUGGCCCUUGCCGAUCAUUUGCAAGCACCCUGGGACCCUGGAGGCAGUAACCUGGUUACUCUCUUGCAUGUUAGGAAGGACAGGCAGCAACCACCACCACGACCACUGCAAAUUGUCUUUCCUAUUGGAUUAUCUGGUGUGAAGGUCUGGCUAUUGUUUGCUCUCACUUUGGUGCAGUUCCUUGGAUCGGUUACCACGUAUAAUGCAAAGUUUUGGAGAUUUUCGCCUGAUAGUGUUUCAAUCCAAGGGAGUAAAGAAUCCAAUUUCAGGGUUGCAUACCUUAUGUGCAGAAGUUCAGAUAGGCAAUUUGCAAGCAGCAAUAUAGCUCUGAACAUUCAAACAAGCU
Molecule: long non-coding RNA, 1807 nt
Filed under: Oryza sativa aus subgroup
Lineage: Eukaryota; Viridiplantae; Streptophyta; Magnoliopsida; Poales; Poaceae
Description: lncRNA OsN22_09G021020
Source: RNAcentral